UGGGGAAUUUUGGACAAUGGGCGAAAGCCUGAUCCAGCAAUGCCGCGUGUGUGAAGAAGGCCUUCGGGUUGUAAAGCACUUUUGUCCGGAAAGAAAUCCUUGGCUCUAAUACAGUCGGGGGAUGACGGUACCGGAAGAAUAAGCACCGGCUAACUACGUGCCAGCAGCCGCGGUAAUACGUAGGGUGCAAGCGUUAAUCGGAAUUACUGGGCGUAAAGCGUGCGCAGGCGGUUUGCUAAGACCGAUGUGAAAUCCCCGGGCUCAACCUGGGAACUGCAUUGGUGACUGGCAGGCUAGAGUAUGGCAGAGGGGGGUAGAAUUCCACGUGUAGCAGUGAAAUGCGUAGAGAUGUGGAGGAAUACCGAUGGCGAAGGCAGCCCCCUGGGCCAAUACUGACGCUCAUGCACGAAAGCGUGGGGAGCAAACAGGAUUAGAUACCCUGGUAGUCCACGCCCUAAACGAUGUCAACUAGUUGUUGGGGAUUCAUUUCCUUAGUAACGUAGCUAACGCGUGAAGUUGACCGCCUGGGGGAGUACGGUCGCAAGAUUAAAACUUAAAUGAAUUGACGGGGUCAUAGCUGUUUCC
RNAcentral lists this ribosomal RNA (585 nucleotides) under uncultured bacterium. Its description in RNAcentral is "partial 16S ribosomal RNA". It matches the Rfam family "Bacterial small subunit ribosomal RNA", at positions 355 to 937 of the family's 1533-position model. The record is from RNAcentral.